RNAcentral lists this long non-coding RNA (309 nucleotides) under Cyanistes caeruleus (blue tit). RNAcentral's name for it is "lncRNA (ENSCCEG00000023800.1)". The record is from RNAcentral. Lineage: Eukaryota; Metazoa; Chordata; Aves; Passeriformes; Paridae.
CUGUCCCCAGAGCUGUGCCACUCCAGCACCAACAUUCCCAGGCUUCAACUGGCAGCCUCUGCUUGAAGUGGACACACAGGAAGGGUAUUCCACGAUGGGCAGCUGCCUGUAGUGAAGGGGACUCACCAAGAACUACUCAAAGACAAGGAAAUUGAGACAAGAAGAACUGAAGUAUCUUCCACAAACAACACAGAAGGGCUCUGAAAGACAGCAUUAAGGAAGCUUGGUGCACAGAUGCUGCUACUACUCAGGAAGAACAGAGUCCAGCAUGUUAGAGACCAGGUACAUUGGGAGCAUCUGGCUUUUGAA